Molecule: non-coding RNA, 31 nt
Filed under: Mus musculus (house mouse)
Lineage: Eukaryota; Metazoa; Chordata; Mammalia; Rodentia; Muridae
Source: RNAcentral
UUCCUGCUCAGGAUCGUUCAUCUCUAACGUC